RNAcentral lists this ribosomal RNA (434 nucleotides) under uncultured bacterium. RNAcentral describes it as "partial 16S ribosomal RNA". It matches the Rfam family "Bacterial small subunit ribosomal RNA", at positions 29 to 507 of the family's 1533-position model. The record is from RNAcentral.
AGCGAACGCUGGCGGCAGGCCUAACACAUGCAAGUCGAACGAACCUUUCGGGGUUAGUGGCGGACGGGUGAGUAACACGUGGGAACGUGCCUUUAGGUUCGGAAUAACUCAGGGACACUUGUGCUAAUACCGAAUGUGCCCUUCGGGGGAAAGAUUAAUCGCCUUUAGAGCGGCCCGCGUCUGAUUAGCUAGUUGGUUGAGGUAAUGGCUCACCAAGGCGACGAUCAGUAGCUGGUAUGAGAGGAUGAUCAGCCACAUUGGGACUGAGACACGGCCCAGACUCCUACGGGAGGCAGCAGUGGGGAAUCUUGCGCAAUGGGCGAAAGCCUGACGCAGCCAUGCCGCGUGAAUGAUGAAGGUCUUAGGAUUGUAAAAUUCUUUCACCGGGGACGAUAAUGACGGUACCCGGAGAAGAAGCCCCGGCUAACUUCGUG